Long non-coding RNA from Nannospalax galili (Upper Galilee mountains blind mole rat), 1705 nucleotides. RefSeq lists it as uncharacterized. The transcript has 4 exons. The record is from RefSeq and is a predicted model, not a curated record. Lineage: Eukaryota; Metazoa; Chordata; Mammalia; Rodentia; Spalacidae.
UUAGGGCAGGACAAGGUCAGCCUGAAUAAGCCCUUCACAGGGGCACUUUGAUCCUCUUGGGGUGUGUCCAAUUUCUGCGGCCUCCUGGGUUGUGUCCAAUUUCUGUGGUGUGGAUGUUUGCUGGCUCUUCCAGCAGAGGGGGAUGGGAUGGAUCUCCCUCUGUGCCAUGGUGCAUUUGUGAAGGUCAGAAGACAAGUGGUGGGAGUUGGUUCUCUCCUUCGAUCAUGUGGGAUCUGGGAAUGGAACUCCAGUCUUCAGGCUUGGUGGGCUCUGGGUCUGCAAUGUCUUUGGAGGCCUCCUGCUACAAAAAUGAACUAAGAAGACAUUGACUUAAAUGGAGCUCACCAGAGAGUGGACUGUUCCAAGUUCCUUUACCAGGUCAAAGAACAUAGCCAAGGGCAUCAAGGCCAAAGGACAAUGCAUGAAUUUCCAAAUCUAGAGAGAAAUGAGGAGCCAAGCAGGCAUGCCCAAACAUUUGACAUUUUGACAUCACAUUGUCAAGUACAAAGUUCACAGUAGAGAUCCGCUCAGUCAAGUUUGAAAACAUAGUCACAGAAAUAGCUCAUGAAGUUUUAAGUUUAUGGUUUUUGUUGGGCAAUAGUCGUAACUGUGGAGAGUAAUCAACCUAGGAGAUGAGUGGUAGGUUGGACACCUCUGUUGAAGUCUAAAGUCUAAAGUUUUGUCAUCAGCAAUCUGGUCUGGUGAAGAAGGAAUGCAUGAUGACUCAGGAAAAGGAGGAAUACUCUGGAACAGAGAGAGUGUGUGGGCUCUGGCUGGGUAUGUCUCACGUGAUUGCACAACUGCCUUCAUGUUUACCAAUUCACAAUUACUCCUUAAUACAGAAUCCUUCUACUUUUCAAAGAAUUUUUACACAUUAUCUAUCAUCUGUGAAUUAAUUCACUUGCUGAUUUCUGAAAUUUUCAUCUUAGAGAUGCUUUUAUUUGGCAUUACGCAAAUCCCACAAUCAGUUAUUCAUACAUUAGCAUGAGUGAUUAUGGCAUCUUGAUCAAGAUUGAUUGAACUUUCUUCUCAUCAUAGAGAAAGGAAAGUAUACUGGAUCUUUUAUUUUUAUAUUACUUCACCUUCUAAAUAUUGUGUGGAGAAAGUUAAAGAGGUGGGAUGGUGAAUUGAAAGAACAGCCAAGGUAAGAUUUCACUGUCCAAAAAGUCCAUUAGAAAAAUAAUUCGGUAUUUUUUAUUGUAACCCUAUUUGAGCCACAUAAUCACCCAUUAAAAUAUUCCAUAAUUCUGCUUAUAGUAUUGUGCUGGCCAGAAAGGCUCCAUUUUGAAAACUCCAUCUUAAGGAAGUAAACCUGAGCUUAAUUCUCCCCUACCCCCAGUUCUUGUAAGUAACUCAGUCCUUGUAAAUCAUUUGGCUUCCUUGUAAGACCACAGGAGAACAAAAGCAGGUUUUGCAAAGCUCCUAUCUGAUGUCUCUAACUGCUCAUUCUGGCUUCUGUAAAUUUGCUUAUUGCUGUGUCCAGAAGGAAAAGGGAUCUCCAACUCCUUGCAGCUGCGGGUUCCAUAGUGAUGUCACCACUCAGUCGCUGUAAUUGUUUUCUUUGUGCCCCUGUUUGUUCAAUAUAUUGAUAAAUGUCCUGUUUACCUUGUCUUUAAACAAUGUAUUGAAACUGUAUUGAAACUGUGACCCCCCCCAAAAGCCCCCAAAGACCCGGCAAUUGUAUAACUGUCAUGAGAUGAUUAAC